CAAUCAAGUGCCUUAAGGGUGUUCGGUGGAUGCCUUGGCGCUGAGAGGCGAUGAAGGACGUGCUACGCUGCGAUAAGCCGUGGGGAGCUGCGAAGAAGCUUUGAUCCAUGGAUUUCCGAAUGGGGAAACCCACCUUCGAUAGCCGGAACUCCAAGACCUUUGUCGAAAGACAUCGGUGUGGGGUUCGAACAGAAAUGUGAGAUGCCUAGACCUUUAGAUUUCGAUCGAAGAGGUUUUGGAUUUCCGGUUAUCAAGAGAAGGUAUGAGACUUCUGAAUACAUAGGAGGUUUCAAGCAAACCCAGGGAACUGAAACAUCUAAGUACCUGGAGGAAAGGACAUCAACAGAG
RNAcentral lists this ribosomal RNA (348 nucleotides) under Bradyrhizobium sp. 10.3. RNAcentral's name for it is "bacterial LSU rRNA". It matches the Rfam family "Bacterial large subunit ribosomal RNA", at positions 1 to 233 of the family's 2925-position model. Lineage: Bacteria; Pseudomonadati; Pseudomonadota; Alphaproteobacteria; Hyphomicrobiales; Nitrobacteraceae. RNAcentral also lists the same sequence under 21 other names. The record is from RNAcentral.